Molecule: long non-coding RNA, 1438 nt
Organism: Musa acuminata AAA Group (dessert banana)
Lineage: Eukaryota; Viridiplantae; Streptophyta; Magnoliopsida; Zingiberales; Musaceae
Exons: 5
Source: RefSeq, a predicted model, not a curated record
GGGAUUCGAAGCGUGAGUUCGACUUGGGCUGGUUUGGGAUGGGGUUGACCGACCCGAUCUGAAGCCCCACCCACCACGGAAGGGAAAAUGAGAAACACCACCAUGCAAGCUCCGCCGCUGUCUCCCUGUACGAGAGCCGGAAGUAGAAUGACAAGGGCUUGGCUAUGGUCUCAUGCCUCUCCGCCACUGCCGCUUCCCGUCUCAAUUGCACUUCUUCCCUUCAGUUCCAGAACAGCAAGGAUCCAAUACCGAGUAGUAGAAGGAAUCGCGAAAAGCGCCUCGUUUGGACGUCCCCUCCAACUUUAACUUCCAUUCGGAUGUCAAAGAUUCCAGCUUUUCAUGGAUACGAGGUUUUCAUGAAAGCAUUGAGCUGAGUGGAGAUGCCAUUACAUUGCUAUCAUUGUUUAUUUUGCAUCUUAAGGUCCACCAAUAAUUGCAAUAAAGCUUAGUCAGAGGUGAAAGAAAGGAAGUGGUUCUAAAGACAGAUUUUUUGAGUUCUAGCGCCCAAAUGGAUGCGUGAGGGGUAGGAUGUGGCCACCAGCUAAAAAGUGGCAAUGCCAUUGGUGGUUUCUGGCUUUCUGCCAUCACCAAGCUACAGGGAAAGGAAGUGUUAUGCGCCCAUUAUCUUUCAGAAUAUUGGAGGAGUUGAGGCUGUCAGCAAGUGACCAGAGAACAAAUCAUAACCAUUUCUUUCAGGCUUCAGCUCUCCUGAUUCUUGCCCUGCCCAAGCCCGCUGUUUCACCAAGAAGGCCUCUAUGAGUUGGGGAGUGCUGCUCAUGAACAAAAGCCAAGAUAGAUUUUCCAACUCCAAGAUUGACAGGAAGGGUUAUUCAAGUGCUGCUGAAUCCACUGGAUAUGGAAUUUAACCCUAUGGGCAGACUAAUUUCACCAGAUCCAACAAAAGCACAAUGAUGGUGCCAACUUGGAGGAUAAUGUGGUGCAGGACCACCUGAUCCUAGUCAGAGAUAAGUACAGAUCAAAAGAAUCUCAAAGGUGGAUCAUUUGAUGAUUUUGUUCUCCCCCAUCAAUGUCUAAGUGAAAGAAACAAGCGCACAACCAGUCUCGAGAUGGAAUUAUUGCCAUGCAAAUCUGCUUGUUGCAACAACCACCGUUGAAUCCCUGCUGACAAAUUCAUCUCAUUGGUGCUUUUGCAAAUGUGAUGGUGAGGUUUCACCUCUGUCAUCCAAAUGAACAUGAGAUCGCAUGGCCUUUUCUCCAUCACCAAUAAGACGGACAUCUAAAGUUCGCAUGGGGAACAGAGUUUCUUGUUGAAGUAUUGGAAUGAAAUCGCUCCUGUACUCGAUGAGACCUCUGUAAAGUUACAUCCAAUUGACAUUUGCAGGGAUAUAUGGAACUCAAUUCGGAUAGUAUUUGCUACAACAAACACAUAGUGCCAAACUGAAAGCUUUCUUGUUAAUCUAUUCUGAGAAAGACAUGG